GAGUUUGAUCAUGGCUCAGAUUGAACGCUGGCGGCAGGCCUAACACAUGCAAGUCGAGCGGUAGCACAAGAGAGCUUGCUCUCUGGGUGACGAGCGGCGGACGGGUGAGUAAUGUCUGGGAAACUGCCUGAUGGCGGGGGAUAACUAGUGGAAACGGUAGCUAAUACCGCAUAACGUCGCAAGACCAAAGUGGGGGACCUUCGGGCCUCACGCCAUCAGAUGUGCCCAGGUGGGAUUAGCUGGUAGGUGGGGUAACGGCUCACCUAGGCGACGAUCCCUAGCUGGUCUGAGAGGAUGACCAGCCACACUGGAACUGAGACACGGUCCAGACUCCUACGGGAGGCAGCAGUGGGGAAUAUUGCACAAUGGGCGCAAGCCUGAUGCAGCCAUGCCGCGUGUGUGAAGAAGGCCUUCGGGUUGUAAAGCACUUUCAGCGAGGAGGAAGGGUAAUGUGUUAAUAAGACAUUGCA
RNAcentral lists this ribosomal RNA (470 nucleotides) under Serratia symbiotica. RNAcentral describes it as "bacterial SSU rRNA". It matches the Rfam family "Bacterial small subunit ribosomal RNA", at positions 9 to 479 of the family's 1533-position model. Lineage: Bacteria; Pseudomonadati; Pseudomonadota; Gammaproteobacteria; Enterobacterales; Yersiniaceae. The record is from RNAcentral.